AGCAUAUCAAUAAGCGGAGGAAAAGAAACCAACCGGGAUUGCCCCAGUAACGGCGAGUGAAGCGGCAAAAGCUCGAAUUUGAAAUCUGGGGUCUUUUGGGCCUCCGAGUUGUAAUUUGUAGAGGAAGCCUCGGAGGGCGAGCCGGUCCAAGUGCCUUGGAACAGGAUACCGCAGAGGGUGAGAGUCCCGUAUCCGGCCGGCGUCGCGCUCCGUGUGAGGCUCCUUCGACGAGUCGAGUUGUUUGGGAAUGCAGCUCCAAGCGGGUGGUAAAUUCCAUCUAAAGCUAAAUACUGGCCAGAGACCGAUAGCGAACAAGUAGAGUGAUCGAAAGAUGAAAAGCACUUUGAAAAGAGAGUCAAACAGUACGUGAAAUUGUUGAAAGGGAAGCGUAUGGGGGCAGACUUGGCCGCGGGGUUCAGGGCGCCCUUCUUGGGCGCCUGUACUUCCCCGCGGACAGGCCAGCAUCGGUUUUGGGGGCCGGACAAAGGCGUCGGGAAUGUGGCUCCCUUCGGGGCGUGUUAUAGCCCGACGUGCAAUGCGGCCACCUGGGACCGAGGACCGCGCCUUGUGCAAGGAUGCUGGCGUAAUGGCCUCAUGC
RNAcentral lists this ribosomal RNA (598 nucleotides) under uncultured fungus. Its description in RNAcentral is "eukaryotic LSU rRNA". It matches the Rfam family "Eukaryotic large subunit ribosomal RNA", at positions 37 to 645 of the family's 3401-position model. The record is from RNAcentral. Lineage: Eukaryota; Fungi.